Molecule: ribosomal RNA, 305 nt
Filed under: uncultured bacterium
Lineage: Bacteria
Description: bacterial SSU rRNA
Rfam family: Bacterial small subunit ribosomal RNA
Source: RNAcentral
CCUACGGGACGCAGCAGUGGGGAAUAUUGCACAAUGGGGGGAACCCUGAUGCAGCGACGCCGCGUGAGGGAAGAAGGUUUUUGGAUUGUAAACCUCUGUCCUUGGUAAAGAAGCAAGACGGUAGCCAAGGAGGAAGCCACGGCUAACUACGUGCCAGCAGCCGCGGUAAUACGUAGGGGGCAAGCGUUAUCCGGAUUUACUGGGUGUAAAGGGGGCGCAGACGGCGAUGCAAGCCAGGAGUGAAAGCCCGGGGCCCAACCCCGGGACUGCUCUUGGAACUGCGUGGCUGGAGUGCAGGAGGGGCG